GUUUGGUUGGAAAGUUGAAUUAUCUUACUAUCACACGACCGGAUAUUUCUUAUGCAGUCAGCAUUGUUAGUCAAUUCUUGGAUACUCCUCGAGUUUCUCAUUGGGAAGCUCUGAUACGUAUUAUUCGGUAUUUGAAAAAGGCUCCAGGUCUUGGAUUGUUGUAUAAACGAAAUGGAAAUAUCAGGAUAGAAGGAUUUACAGAUGUAGAUUGGGCAGGUUUUCCAUUAGAUAGAUGAUCUACUACUGGAUUCCGUACUUUUCUCGGUGGUAAUCUUGUCUCUUGGAAAAGUAAGAAACAAACUGUGGUUGCAAGAUCAAGUGCAGAAGCGGAAUACAGGGCGAUGGCUCAUAUUGCUAGUGAAUUGACGUGGUUGCAGCACUUUCUUCAAGAAAUCAAUCUUUCACCCUCUACUCCUAUACCGAUGUUCUGUGAUAAUCAGGCUACUUUACAUAUUGCAUCCAAUCCAAUUUUCCAUGAAAGGACCAAGCAUAUUGAAGUCGACUGUCACUUUAUUCGGGACAAGAUAGUAUGUGGUGACAUAUGUACACCAUUUGUGAAGACCGG
This 565-nucleotide long non-coding RNA is filed under the name Olea europaea subsp. europaea. The record is from RNAcentral. Lineage: Eukaryota; Viridiplantae; Streptophyta; Magnoliopsida; Lamiales; Oleaceae.